UAGGGAAUAUUGGACAAUGGGUGCAAGCCUGAUCCAGCCAUGCCGCGUGAGUGAAGAAGGCCUUCGGGUUGUAAAGCUCUUUUACCAGGGACGAUAAUGACGGUACCUGGAGAAUAAGCCCCGGCAAACUUCGUGCCAGCAGCCGCGGUAAUACGAAGGGGGCUAGCGUUGUUCGGAAUUACUGGGCGUAAAGCGCACGUAGGCGGAUUGUUAAGUCAGAGGUGAAAUCCCGGAGCUCAACUUCGGAACUGCCUUUGAUACUGGCAAUCUAGAGUCCGGAAGAGGUUAGUGGAAUUCCCAGUGUAGAGGUGAAAUUCGUAGAUAUUGGGAAGAACACCAGUGGCGAAGGCGGCUAACUGGUCCGGUACUGACGCUGAGGUGCGAAAGCGUGGGGAGCAAACAG
RNAcentral lists this ribosomal RNA (403 nucleotides) under uncultured bacterium. RNAcentral's name for it is "bacterial SSU rRNA". It matches the Rfam family "Bacterial small subunit ribosomal RNA", at positions 355 to 775 of the family's 1533-position model. The record is from RNAcentral.